Molecule: long non-coding RNA, 205 nt
Filed under: Elaeis guineensis (African oil palm)
Lineage: Eukaryota; Viridiplantae; Streptophyta; Magnoliopsida; Arecales; Arecaceae
Description: long non-coding RNA (EGUI_LNC070446)
Source: RNAcentral
GCAGGCGACUGUUUCCCCCCUUCUAUUCCUCUUGAUCCGUAGCAUCCUCUCGAGAUUGACCUCCGGGGCAGAAGCCCUGACGAGAGGACUCCUCGAAAGGGCUCGGAAGACUGAAGGCGGCGGAGAGCCGGCGGAGAUGGCGAAGAUUGACACAAAGGAUGGUUGGGGUCGAAAAGGGCGCCGAUGGGUGGCUAAACUCUCAGGC